Molecule: unclassified non-coding RNA, 345 nt
Filed under: Spizellomycetales sp.
Lineage: Eukaryota; Fungi; Chytridiomycota; Chytridiomycetes; Spizellomycetales
Description: partial contains 5.8S ribosomal RNA, internal transcribed spacer 2, and large subunit ribosomal RNA
Source: RNAcentral
CGCACAUUGCGCUUCCUGGUAUUCCGGGGAGCAUGCUCGUUUCAGAAUCAUUAAAAAUCUCACAACCCUGAUGUGCUUUACUGUGCAGCAGGCAAGUGAAUCUGAGCACAUUUGGCUGUGGGCUUGCCCUGGCCAAAUGCUCUAAAAUGAUUGCGUGUGUAACCCACUUUUGAUUUCAUCAGAAGUGGCGUAUCUCUCCAGUGCAACAAGAUAUUAUUAUCAGUUCGCUGUUUUGGAGAUAUGCACAUACUGCUCCUAUACCUUUAAACAGGCACUGCCACAGAUUCUGUGUGCAGCGCCUGAUAACUUGGUCUGAAAUCGAGCAAGAAAACCCGCUGAACUUAA